RNAcentral lists this ribosomal RNA (425 nucleotides) under uncultured bacterium. Its description in RNAcentral is "partial 16S ribosomal RNA". It matches the Rfam family "Bacterial small subunit ribosomal RNA", at positions 354 to 796 of the family's 1533-position model. The record is from RNAcentral.
GUGGGGAAUCUUGCGCAAUGGGCGAAAGCCUGACGCAGCCAUGCCGCGUGAAUGAUGAAGGUCUUAGGAUUGUAAAAUUCUUUCACCGGGGACGAUAAUGACGGUACCCGGAGAAGAAGCUCCGGCUAACUUCGUGCCAGCAGCCGCGGUAAUACGAAGGGGGCUAGCGUUGCUCGGAAUUACUGGGCGUAAAGGGCGCGUAGGCGGACAGUUUAGUCAGAGGUGAAAGCCCAGGGCUCAACCUUGGAAUUGCCUUUGAUACUGGCUGUCUUGAGUACGGGAGAGGUGAGUGGAACUCCGAGUGUAGAGGUGAAAUUCGUAGAUAUUCGGAAGAACACCAGUGGCGAAGGCGACUCACUGGCCCGUUACUGACGCUGAGGUGCGAAAGCGUGGGGAGCAAACAGGAUUAGAAACCCGGGUAGUCC